UGUAGGCGGUUCGGUAAGUUAAAGGUGAAAUCCCAAGGCUCAACCUUGGAAUUGCUUUUAAAACUGCUAAUCUAGAGAUUGAAAGAGGAUAGAGGAAUUCCUAGUGUAGAGGUGAAAUUCGUAAAUAUUAGGAGGAACACCAGUGGCGAAGGCGUCUAUCUGGUUCAAAUCUGACGCUGAGGCGCGAAGGCGUGGGGAGCAAACAGGAUUAGAUACCCUGGUAGUCCACGCUGUAAACGAUGAGUGC
This 247-nucleotide ribosomal RNA is filed under the name Wolbachia sp. 4AA250. RNAcentral's name for it is "partial 16S ribosomal RNA". It matches the Rfam family "Bacterial small subunit ribosomal RNA", at positions 570 to 816 of the family's 1533-position model. Lineage: Bacteria; Pseudomonadati; Pseudomonadota; Alphaproteobacteria; Rickettsiales; Anaplasmataceae. The record is from RNAcentral.